AAGAAGAAGAGAGGAAGAAGAGAGAGGAGGAAGAGGAGUAUCAAGAUGGUAAUGAAGUUAGAGAGAUGUAUGUGGAAACUACAGAUUCUGAGGCAGACUAAGUUGUGUUCUUCCUCAAGUUCAGUGUUGGAAAUGGUAUCAAGUCAAUUUUGCAAAAGCAGAAUAAAACGGAGUUAGGAUGUUAGAAGUGUAACGAAUGUAAUAGCAAGAUGAAGUUGGGUUUUGAUGUUAGAAGUGG
This 238-nucleotide unclassified non-coding RNA is filed under the name Hevea brasiliensis (rubber tree). The record is from RNAcentral. Lineage: Eukaryota; Viridiplantae; Streptophyta; Magnoliopsida; Malpighiales; Euphorbiaceae.